RNAcentral lists this transfer RNA (75 nucleotides) under Clostridia bacterium. RNAcentral's name for it is "tRNA-Cys". It matches the Rfam family "tRNA". From Rfam's summary of the family: Transfer RNA (tRNA) molecules are approximately 80 nucleotides in length. Their secondary structure includes four short double-helical elements and three loops (D, anti-codon, and T loops). Lineage: Bacteria; Bacillati; Bacillota; Clostridia. The record is from RNAcentral.
GGCGACAUAGCCAAGCGGUAAGGCACGAGUCUGCAAAACUCCCAUUCCUCGGUUCGAUUCCGAGUGUCGCCUCCA